This 604-nucleotide ribosomal RNA is filed under the name uncultured fungus. RNAcentral's name for it is "eukaryotic LSU rRNA". It matches the Rfam family "Eukaryotic large subunit ribosomal RNA", at positions 23 to 641 of the family's 3401-position model. The record is from RNAcentral. Lineage: Eukaryota; Fungi.
ACCCGCUGAACUUAAGCAUAUCAAUAAGCGGAGGAAAAGAAACCAACAGGGAUUGCCUCAGUAACGGCGAGUGAAGCGGCAAAAGCUCAAAUUUGAAAUCUGGCUCUUUCAGGGUCCGAGUUGUAAUUUGUAGAAGAUGCUUCGGGUGUGGUCCCGGUCUAAGUUCCUUGGAACAGGACGUCAUAGAGGGUGAGAAUCCCGUAUGUGACUGGGUACCUACGCUCAUGUGAAGCUCUUUCGACGAGUCGAGUUGUUUGGGAAUGCAGCUCAAAAUGGGUGGUAAAUUUCAUCUAAAGCUAAAUAUUGGCCAGAGACCGAUAGCGCACAAGUAGAGUGAUCGAAAGAUGAAAAGCACUUUGGAAAGAGAGUUAAACAGUACGUGAAAUUGUUGAAAGGGAAGCGCUUGCAAUCAGACUUGCGCCUAGUCGAUCAUCCGGGCUUCUGCCCGGUGCACUCGAUUAGGCUCAGGCCAGCAUCGGUUUGGGUGGUUGGAUAAAGGCUUGGGGAACGUAGCCUCCUUCGGGGGGUGUUAUAGCCCCAGGUGCAAUGCAGCCUACCUGGACCGAGGACCGCGCUUCGGCUAGGAUGCUGGCGUAAUGGUUGU